Molecule: ribosomal RNA, 449 nt
Filed under: uncultured bacterium
Lineage: Bacteria
Description: partial 16S ribosomal RNA
Rfam family: Bacterial small subunit ribosomal RNA
Source: RNAcentral
AACGAACGCUGGCGGCAUGCCUAACACAUGCAAGUCGAACGAGACCUUCGGGUCUAGUGGCGCACGGGUGCGUCACGCGUGGGAAUCUACCCUUGGGUUCGGAAUAACAGUUAGAAAUGACUGCUAAUACCGGAUGAUGACGUAAGUCCAAAGAUUUAUCGCCCAAGGAUGAGCCCGCGUAAGAUUAGCUUGUUGGUGGGGUAAUGGCCUACCAAGGCGACGAUCUUUAGCUGGUCUGAGAGGAUGAUCAGCCACACUGGGACUGAGACACGGCCCAGACUCCUGCGGGAGGCAGCAGUGGGGAAUAUUGGACAAUGGGCGAAAGCCUGAUCCAGCAAUGCCGCGUGAGUGAUGAAGGCCUUAGGGUUGUAAAGCUCUUUUACCAGGGAUGAUAAUGACAGUACCUGGAGAAUAAGCUCCGGCUAACUCCGUGCCAGCAGCCGCGGUAA